GUUAGCUUAUGUAAACAAGCUGAAAGGGUGAGUUUCACUAAACUUCCUCCGAAAAUGAUCAAAUAAGAGGGGGGAAAAACAGAAAAAUCGCCCAACAGUGACUCGUUAUCUACAAAAACAGCUGGUGCAACAUGAAGAAAGACAUUCCUAUAAAAGGAGAAUCACGUCAGCGUCUGUUCGGGUGUUCCUGUAUUCAGACAACUAAGGACCGCCAACUGGAGAGAAGCACAGACGUUUGGGAGGGUGGAGGCUGGUGGAGCUAUCACCCCCCGGGUUAUCUCCAUGUCCUCGACUUCGAGUUGCAGGCCUCUUGGCCCUCGUCAGAGGACUUAGCAAGUCAUCACUGGGGCUGGGGGAGUCUCUGCUUUUCGCUCGCAACGCCGCAGGGGAGGAGGUGCCCUCAACCUGCAACGGAAAGCAAAGCGUGAAGAUUGAAGAUUCGGAUAAAAAUGAGUAGAAAAAUCUAAA
Long non-coding RNA from Oryzias melastigma (Indian medaka), 468 nucleotides. RefSeq lists it as uncharacterized. NCBI's taxonomy places the organism in Eukaryota, Metazoa, Chordata, Actinopteri, Beloniformes, Adrianichthyidae. The record is from RefSeq and is a predicted model, not a curated record. The transcript is spliced from 2 exons.